RNAcentral lists this ribosomal RNA (253 nucleotides) under uncultured bacterium. RNAcentral describes it as "partial 16S ribosomal RNA". It matches the Rfam family "Bacterial small subunit ribosomal RNA", at positions 524 to 776 of the family's 1533-position model. The record is from RNAcentral.
UACGUAGGUGGCAAGCGUUGUCCGGAUUUACUGGGCGUAAAGAGCGCGCAGGCGGUCGUUCAAGUCGCGUGUGAAAGCCCCCGGCUCAACUGGGGAGGGUCACGCGAUACUGAUCGACUCGAAGGCAGGAGAGGGUAGUGGAAUUCCCGGUGUAGUGGUGAAAUGCGCAGAUAUCGGGAGGAACACCAGUGGCGAAGGCGGCUUCCUGGACCGACACUGACGCUGAGGCGCGAAAGCUAGGGGAGCAAACGGG